UCCAUUUCUUCUUUCCCUUUCUCUCUCUUAUCGUAUCUUCACUACUCUCUCUCAUUCUUUCUCUCUAAACCCUUUCCUCCAGCCACCCUGAAACCUAGUAGCCACUGUGCUAACUGCCCCCAAACCCACAUCUCUAGUUAAAGUUCAAUCGGGAUCUUCAUAUCUUCAAAUACCAAACCCAGAACCCUUCAAGACCAUGAACCCUAGGAUGAACCCUAACCUUAAUGAAGAACCCUAAUUGGGUUCUUUUGAACCCUAACUUAUCAACCUAGAACCCUAACCCUAAAGUGAAGAACCCUAACCCUAACUUCUAAGAAACCUAACCCUAAAACUAUCCAGAAACCCUCAAUCUGAUCUAGAUCGAAUCCUAAUCAAACCUAAAACACAAAUCAACCCUUAACAGAAAUCAAACACAAAAACCAUAUAUCUAUCAUUCAAACUAAAUUCAGAAUAAAUCAAACAUAGCCAUGCAAAUCGAAUAAGUGAAUGAAGGCAAAGGGGUAACAAAUUCAACCAACCUACGGAGAUGAGUAAUUCUCCGGUAAAAAAAAAGAUAAUCGUUUCGAUUCUUUUUAUUGUCUUUGGUCCAGUUUGUCUUUUCUUCCUCCUCUAACUUCUUCUUUUUCCCUUGUGCGAGGUAUCAAUGGUAUUGUGAUGUGGCUUAGCUCAGAGGAAUUAGGGUCUCAAUAUGGUACCCUAAUGACUGUUUGAUUGGAGCUUUAAUGGAGGUUUCGGGGUUGCAAAAGCAAUUAUACUCUUAGGGUUUUCUUAUCUCUUUUUUUCGUUCUUAAAUCAUAUAAUUUCUCAUGUAUUAAUAGAUCAAAUUAGGUCUUAGUGAUUUAAUCAUAUUGAUUUGUUUUAGAAAAAUUUGUAUUAGAUUGAUUGUAAUUUGAUUUAGUUUUUUUUUAGAAUUUGGAUCCGACUGUACUUGGUCCUAAUUGUAUCGUGUAAUGCAUUUGAGAAUUGAAUUUGGAAAUAUUUGAUGGCAUUUUCAAUUUGAGGUUGUGGUUUUUUCCGCUUUCAGUUUACGCACGACUUAGGGUUUAUGGAUUGAAGAAUUGGGAAUUGGGGAUUGGAUCGGGUCAUGGGUGUGACCCGAUAGAAUGAUGGAUUUGGGUAUUCCUAACCCAAUUGGUUUGGACCUGGGUCCUGCGUUGACCCAGUUGGACUUGGGCUUUGGUCAGUCCUUUGACAAACCCAUUUAACAUAAAAAAAUGGAUUAAAAAGCUAAUAAGAAUAAACUAAUUACCUUAUUAAGACUAAUUAACCUAACCAUCAUCUAAUAAUAAUAUAAAUUGAUAUUUUGAUAAAAGUUGAUUAAUGAAGUAAUUAACCUAAUUAACAUUAGUAGAAUUUAAACUAAACUCGAGUUAAUCAUAAGUUAAUCAUAUAUUAAAACCUCUUUUAUUAAUUUAACUAUAAAUUAGCAAAAAAAUACAAUAAUCCCAUAAACCCUAAUCAAUUCUAAAAACCACAAGAUUAUCAAUUAAUCGGGAUGGUUAAGGGAAAAGUCAAAAUAGUCCUCCUUUGACUUUUUAUGUCAUUAGGGCUGACCAAAUAACUUAUACCGACUCCAGACGUGUUAGUGAUAUAGGUUAGGGGACAUAUGGUCAAAAUUUGGGGUAUGACGGCUACCCCUAUUUAAUCAGCUUACACUGGGAGGAGGAUGACAGUGAGUCUUUGUCCACCCUGGAGAAGGUGAUUAAAUAUAUAGAGGGUCCCUAAUUUUUACCAUGUAGUUUGUAGAUCCCGAGAACGAGCACAAAUUGAACAAUCCCUAAUGCUUUGUUGGUAUCCGAACCAACUUAUGAUGGAACCAUGGUGAGACUUUGUUGAUUAAUUUCAGCCCAUUUGGGUGAAACUAGCAUACCAGUUCUAUGAUCAUCCGAUCAUUUUAUCAAAAUUGGAUAUGACGAUCCUUCGAUCGUUGCUUGAUAGAACCCCUUUGAUUGUUUCAACCCCUUCUGGUGAAACUUGCAUACGAUUCUUAUGAUCAUUCGAUCAUAUUAUGGAAAUCGGGCAGGACUCUGAUGAUCCUCUAGUCGCGAUUUGAUAAAACUCUGAUAGAACCCCUUUGAUUAGUUUCCGCCCAUCCAGGUGUAACUUGCGUACGAUUCCUAUGAUCCUCCGAUUGUCUUAUGGAAAUCAGGUAGGACUCUAAUGAUCCUCCGAUCGUUAAAAUUCCUAUUAUCAACCGAUCAUUUGGAAUCUUGGUAGGACUCUGAAGAUCCUCCAUGCGUUGUUUGAUAAAACCCUGUGCAUUUGAUGGAGCUUGUCCCAUGUACGAGAUAGGUUGUUAAGCUGGGGAUAUGAGAUAUGAACACCUACUCAUUAGUCGAUAGCGAUCAUUUGAGAUGAUCGAUUUAUUGGACAUGUUAAACUUGCAGGGGAGAUCCUUUCCUUAAAAAGGCUCCUUAGAGGCUCACUUACUAGGGAAGGCCAAUAAGUAUUCUUGACUUGAGGAUUUGUAUUAAUAUUGCUGGUGAUUGAACUUCUAGGAGUGGUCACAAGUCAUAUGUUAUAAUAUGUGUGUUCAUGCGGAUGCAUGUCUUGAAUUGAUGUAUGUGCUUAUGUGUGAUGCUUUAUUUAGGCUAUCGCCUUUUUUAUGAUGUGUAUGAUGAAUACAUGAAGUUAUAGGAAUUGUGAGAAUCUAGGUUUCUGUAACAUUCUGACUCUCCAACCCCUUGAGACUUUGAUAUAUCCAUCGACUAGGCCAUGAUGCUCUUGAUGUUUGAGAAUAAUUAAAAGGAAGAAACUUAUGUGCUAAUUAGAUCAUGACUGCUGAUUCAGGGACCCUACGUUUUUUAAUGUUGGAAAGCUAAUGAUAUUUUUGACGUUUCGAAAUCGAAGUAAAAGAUGUUUUCAAAAAGCUUUUUAUUAUGCCCGGUGUUUUAAUGUAUUAUUCACAAAUAAUUGAUAUUUAAUAAUCGAGUAGAAAAUUUGAAAAUAAGGCUAAAAAACAAUGUUAUUUAUUGAGAAUUUUGACCCAUAAAUGGGUGAUAGUACAUGAAGAAGCAAUUCCCAUAAGGGGAGAUUAUUGAAAAGCUGGAAGAUGUAAAUUGACAAUGAAAAUAGAUUACUUUAGAUUCCUAGUGAAUUCAAUAAUUGCUAUUAUCCAUAUGUCUUCAAAGUCACGAUACUUUGCUUCUGAAGAUGAUGAUUGAAUUGAUUGUUUCCAUCUGAAUUCCUGUUGUAGUAUGGCUUAAGUACUGCAGUCAUAUGCCUUUUGGAUAUCUCUAACUUUUGUCUGGACUGCUCUUUCGAGUCUUAGUCCACCAGGAUGAUGUACCCUUUUUUUCCUAAGACGCCAUUUUGGAGUUUUCGGUUUAGCUGAUUUUAUUUUAUACAAGUGUCUAAUUUUUUCCUAGAUCGCACUUUCGAGUUUUCAAUCCACCGAGACGUCCUAAUUUUUGCCUAAGUCGCCCUCUCGGGUUUUUGACUUAGCGGAUUUUUAUCCUCUUUUUCUAGGCAUAGUAUUUCUUGACUGCUUCAGAGUUCACAGGUCGUGGUAACUCUGCUCAAUUCAUAGUUGUGAAUAUUAAGACCUCUCCAAAGAAGGCCUUUUUCACGACGUAUGGCCCUUGGUAGUUUUGUGUCCAUUUUUCCGCGGGGAUCUUUGUGGAUGGGUAAGAUUUUCCUGAGUACUAGGUCGCCUUCUAAGAAUAGACGAGCAUCAACUCGCUUGUUGAAUGCUUUCUUUAGCCUCCGCUGAUAUAAAUGUCAGUGACAUAUUGCAGCCAUGCGCUUCUCUUCUAUGAGUUUUAGUUGAUAGAAUAUUGUUUGUGCCUAUUCUUCCUCUUCCAAUUUAGUCUCCAUCGGAACUCUCAGAGAGGAGAUCUCGACUUCAAUAGGAAGUAUCAGUGCCAUAUACAAGAGAGAAAGGAUUUGUUCCUAUUGACGUGCGAACUGAUGUUCUAUAGCUGUGUAGUGCAAAAGGUAGCAUUUCAUGCCAAUUUUUACAAGUUUUUACCAUCUUCUGCAUAAUCUUUUUGAUGUUUUAGUUAGUUUUUUCUACUGCACCGUUCAUCUUAGGCCUGUAUGGUGAUGAGUAAUGGUGUUCGAUUUUGAAACUGUCGCAUAACUCGUCUAUUACCUUGUUGUUUAGAUUCAACCCAUUAUCAGUGGUGAUCUUGUUAGGAACACCGUAAUGACAAAUGAUUUCCUUUUUGAUCAAUCGUGCAAUCACUUAUCUCGUCACAUUAGUGUAAGAAGCAUCCUCUACCCACUUGGUGAAGUAAUCGAUAGCAACCGGGAUGAAUCAAUGUUCGUUCACAACUUUUGGAUCAAUCAUCCCAAUUAUGUGAAUACCCCGUAUGGUGAAAGACCAUGGAGUGGUCAGGAUAUUCAAGGAGUAUGUGGCACAUGUAACACUCCAGACUGCUUUCAGGAUUACCGACUGACCCCACAAAUCAACACGGGUCUUUUCAGUAUGUUUUAUCCUCACUCACAUGCUUUCCAGGAAACUUCCUGGAAGGUCACCCAUCCAAAUACUACUCCAAGUCAAGAACGCUUAACUUUGGAGUUCUUAUCUGUUAGGCUACUGAAAAGAAGAUGCAUCUUGUUGGUAUAGGUAGUACCAAUUAAUCCUUAUAAACAUUUCUUUGAUCAUGCAGUCCCAUACCUGCACAGCCUCAGGAUCCCUCUCAUUCCGAUGUGAAUUCAGGUUUUCCCUAGAAGUUGUUAGGAGUGUCUCAUUGUCAUACCUCAUACACCGACAACCACUCCCUCAUCCUCGGGUGUUACAUGUAACCACUCCCCUCCCUCUUUGCCCUAGGGUGUUACAUUUCCACCAGCUUCUGCUUGGUUCGUCCCCGAACCACAUCGUACUGGGAGAGGUCUGGCUCUGAUACCAUUUGUAACGCUUCAGAAAACUUUCAUGAUUAUCGACUGAUCCCACAAACCAACACGGGUCUUUUUAGCAAGUUUUAUCCUCACUCACAUGCUUUCUAGGAAACUUCCCAGAAGGUCACCUAUCCAAAUACUACUCCAAGUCAAACACGCUUAACUAUGAAGUUCUUAUCUGUUGGGCUACCGAAAACAAGAUGCAUCUUCUUUUCGGUAGCUCAAUAGAUAAGAACUCCAUAGUUAAGCGUGCUUGACUUGGAGUAGUAUUUGGAUGGGUGACCUUGUGGGAAGUUUCUCGGAAAGCAUGUGAGUGAGGAUAAAACAUGUUGCAAAGACCCGUGUUGGUUUAUGGGGUCAGUCGAUAAUACAGAAUGCAAUCUGGGGCGUUACAACACAAUUACUUUGUCUUCAUAUAUAUGGAACUUAUGACAUUUCUUGACGUAUUUGAAGCAAUCAGACUCCAUAGUCAACCAAUAGUACCAUGCUCUGAGAAUUUUCUUAGCCAUCGUGUGCCCAUUGGCUUGAGUGUCAAAGGAUCCCUCGUGAAUCUCUUUGAUAAACAUGCCUGCUUCAUAUCCAUCUAGGCAUAUGAGUAAGACCUCGCCGAGGUUCUGUUUAUAGAGUACAUCACCAUUGUGGAAGAAUUGAGAUGCCAAUCUUUUGAGCGUUUUCUUAACUUCGCUUGAAGCAAUCACCAUGGAGUCAACUUUUAUAUGCAACUCUAAUUCAAAAUUGAUUAAUGCAUAUUCUUAUAUUAAAAUUAUUCUAUUUAUGUUCUUGUAUAUUUUCAAUUAAUAUUUGUAAAGAUGAUCAAAUAAGGUAUAUCUUAUUACAAAGUGUGAAAUUUUAAGUUGAAAUUAGUAAUGUUGGAUAGAGGAUUGAAGAAUCUAUAAAAAUCUCUUUUUUUAUUGGGAAAACUAUAGCCAAUGAAAAUGGGUUAUACAAGUUUUAAUAUCAUAAAUUUUUUAUAAGUAAGCAAUUGAUUAAAGAAAGAGAGUGCAAGGGAUACUCUAACCCUUACAAAGAUGAAAAACGCCACUUACAAACAGAGAGAAGGAACGAAAUAACAAUCGUACCAACGAUAAAUUUGAGAAGAAAUACUACCAACAACUAACUAAUUCCAAGAUAAGGAAUUAAUGGAUAAGACUACUUCUUCUACAUAUAAUUUUUUUUCAUUAAACAAAGAAUUAUUUCUCCCUAAUCAGAUGAUCCAACAAGCUAUUAUCCAAAACAUCUCAUCCUUCUUCUUGCCAAAAUCUUGGCACAACUUCCCCCACAAAGACAUAAACGAUACUCGCUGACAAAAAUGUCCAAAAAAAUCACAACCAAACCAGUUACCCUAUUUCCUCCACACAUAGCAAACAACCAGACAAGAUAUGAAAAGAUAGAGCAAGUUCUCCUCUUUAGUAGAACAAAAGACACAUAAAGUAUCACUAGCAUCGUUAAUGAUACCUCUAUACAAUAAGUUAACCUUAGUCGACAACCAAUCAAUCAACAACCUCCAAACAAAAAGAAUAAAUUUGGAAAGAAUUUAUAAAACACCUCAAAUUGUGUCUGAGACAAUCUUUGCUCAAGCCAUAAUCAUAACCUAAACUAGAUAAAUCUCUCAAAUAAAUCGAGUCAUGAUAGGAAUCCCAAAAGAACGAUAUAUAAAUCCAAUCAACUUUGACCAAAUAGCCGGGAAAUCAUUUAAAAUCUUCCACUUCCACAUCAAAAGGAGGGAUAUAUUUAACAACCGAAUAUCUUUGACAUAUAAACCUCCUUAUCUUUAGGUAAACAGACAUUUUCCCAACUAACCUAGUGAAUGGAUCUUCUCGUGGUUGGAAAAAACUUUACGAGUCACCACCAUAUUUUAUUUGUUCCUAAUGAACCGGGAAAUAAUGAUAAAACCUAAGAUAAAGGGGAGAGACUAAGGUUUGGGAGUCAGUUAAGCAAUGAGAAGGUAUUAGGAACCCCUAACCUCCAUUGUACUCAAUGGGAUCCUCCUCUAAAUCUAGGGUUAGUGUGUGUUUCCAUAGGGAAUGUUUUCUUACGUCGUUUUUUAUUUGCUUAAUCUAUAUAUUUAUUAAAAAAUGCUAUUGUUAAAAGAAAAUGAUUGAGUAAUGAAGUUAGACACAAGAAAGGUGUUUUUGGUUAUCGUACUCGCUAGAGUGCUAUGACUCUAUGCCUACAUACCUUGAUAUUAGAUGAAGGAUCAGAGAACCGUAGUUCUUUUAGAAAAUGUUUGUUUGUUUUGUGUUUUUUUAGAUUGUUGAAAGUUAUCAACACAUCGGGUGCGGACAAACGUUUGAAAAAAAUAACUCAAUGCACCAGGGAAGAGGACUUAUAGAUUGACUGUGUGGCAUUGAUUUUGAUUCAUUUGUUAAUUACAAAAAUAUACCAUGUUUAAUUUUAUUAGAAAUUAUAUUAAAUGAUAUAAUUAUAGACAUACUUAACUUUAUUUGAGCUUUUAAACAUAACUAGAUAAUGAAAGAAAAAUCAGUAUGAUCUCGAUUAAACCUUGAUUAGAUUUAAUAAUGUCCCAAAAGUUAGCCCUUAAAUUUAAUCGUAAAAUUAUACUAAUAACCCCUAACCAUUAAAGCAUAUUUUUAUAUUUUGUAAUUUAAAAUAUGCUAAAUCCUUGAUUAUUAAGAUUAAUUGUUUUAACUAAAUUAAUUAUCAAUUAGAUUCUAAAAGUAAAUUGUUAAUUAUAAACUUUUUAAUUAAGAAAAUAAGUUAAUUGAUUGAGUUUGAAUAAAUUAAGUUGGGGGUGCAUUGUUAGUUGUACUAGUAAUUGGGCUGAGGCUGGGGGAGUAAAUAGCAAAAAAAGAGGAAGCCCAUUAACCUCUGAAGCACAACAAUGGCCAGAGGCUCCAUGGAGAGAGUCAAGAAUUGACUCUCAUCCAUGGAUGUUGGAUAAAUCCAACAUGAUUUAGGUAGAGGGUACCAAAGUUGUGUGAUAGACAUACUAAGUUAAAGUAAUUGUAAUGGAGAGUGGGGAUUAAAAGUCAAAGCAAACAUAUGGUAAGAGCAAGCACCUAGGCUAGUCUGAGCCAACAUAUUGUUUGGUGGAAAUGUGCCACUUGGGUGUGAUAUGGAUACGAGACAAAGGCAGCAUAUAACCCCAAAAUCUUCAGAGUUAUUCCAUUUCUUCUUUCCCUUUCUCUCUCUUAUCUUAUCUUCUCUACUCUCUCUCGUUCUUUCUCUCUAAACCCUUUCCUCUAGCCACCCAAACCCAGAUCUCUGGUUGAAGUUUAAUCAGGAUCUUCAUUUCUUCAAAUCCCCAACCCAGAACCCUUCAAGACCAUGAACCCUAGGAUGAACCCUAACCUUAUUGAAGAACCCUAGCUAGGUUAUAUUGAACCCUAACUUAUCAACCUAGAAUCCUAACCCUAAAGUGAAGAACCCUAAGCCUAACUCCUAAGAACCCUAACCCCAAGACUCCCCAAAAACCCUCAAAUCUGAUCAUCGAAUCCUAAUGAAACCUAAAAUACAAAUCAACCCUUAACAGAAAUCAAACACAAAAACCCUAUAUUUAUCAUUCAAACAAAAUUCAGAAUAAGUUAAACAUAGCCAUGCAGACCAAUUAAGUGAAUGAAGGAAAAGGGGUAAUAGAUUCAACCAACCUACGGAGAUGAGAAAUUCUCCGGUAAAAAAAAGGUAAUCAUUUCAAUUCUUUUUAUUGGCUUUGGUCCGGUUUGUCUUUUAUUCCUCCACUAACUUCUUCUUUUUCCCUUGUGUGGGGUAUCAAUGGUUUUGUGAUAUGGCUUAGCUCAGAGAAAUUAGGACUUCAAUGUGGUACCCUAGUUACUGUUUAAUUGGAGCUUUAAUGAAGGUUUCGGGGUUGCAGAAGCAAUUAUACUCUUAGGGUUUUCUUAUCUCUUUUUUUCGUGCUUAAAACAUCUAAUUUGUCAUGUAUUAAUAUAUCAAAUUAAGUCUUAGUGAUUUAAUUGGAUUGAUUUGUUUUAGAAAAUUUUGUAUUAGAUUGAUUGUAAUUUGAUUUAGGUUUUUUUAGAAUUUGGAUCUGAUUGUUGUCAUACCCUACUUUUUAAUCCUAAGAUCCCAUUUCUCAUUUGCUUCUUUUGCAUACAGGCAAAGUCACAUCUUGGUCUUUCCCAUAUUCAUCUUUGGGUUUGCUUCUUGCAGGGAUCACCAAACACUUUUUUGUUCUACCUUUAUGUUUAUUUUAUUCAUUUCUUAUCUAACCACCAAUCAAAAUACCAAAAAUAUUUCUUAUUUAUUUUAAGUUUAUUUUGCAAGAUAGGGCUUCUCAAGUCAAAAGUAUCCCAUUGUUGUCUUACUUCUCAAGAAAGUCAUAAGUUCAUGUGUUUAUUUCCAUGCAUUCUUCAACAAGCAACUUCAAGAUUUGAGCUAUUUAAUCAAGAGGCUAUCAAGGAAACCUUAUAUUGAGUUCAUAUGAUCAUUCAUGUGCUUUGGAAUGCAAGGAAGGUCCAAGUGCACAAGUUUGUUCCAAGUGGUUUGACCUAAUAAUCAACAUUUUGAAGUCAAAGUUCCAAGGACCACAACUCCUUCAAUUUUAAACAUUUUUGAAUUCCCCUUUUUUCAUAUGACUCUUCUCAACAUCCUCUACAACUUCGCUUUACAUGAGAAAAGCCAAUUAUGCUUGGAGGAUCCUCUACAACUCCUUCUAUUUUUCAAGUGACUUUUCCCCAACUUUCAAGAUUCAUAACUUCUUCAAAUUUUAGCAUAUGGAACUGAUUCUUCUUGCACAAUGUCAUUUGUGAUUCUAUCUACAAUUUUUCUCCAAGGACCAAGGUCAAAUUAUGCUUGUAAGGCCAUGUAAUUCGUUGGGACAUUAUAGGUCAUUUUCAGCCAUGGAACACUCAAAUGUUUCUAAGUUAUGGAACCAGUAUUUUAUGCCAACUCCAACACACCAUAAAUUUGUGCUCAAGAAUCCAAAUGCAACCUUUCUUGGAUCAUUCUAAUCUUGGCCAUAAUGUUAACACAUUGCAAAAAGAUUGGGAUCAAAAAGCCUCUUGAGUAGGAUGCCCCAUUGAGUUGAACAUGGUGACUUGAAACUGAAGAAAUCACCAUUGCCCGAAAUUUGAUCACGACUAAACUCAACUUCAAGCCAAAUUAGCAAGUGUUUUGGUCCUAAACAUGUUUAAUCAAACAUUCAGAAGUUAAUUGAUACUUAAAACGCAUCAUUUGGCCGCUUUUUGAGGAGUUUCAAGUCACACUUUUCACACACUUGGAUCAAAUUUAUUUUACACGAAUUCAACAUCAUUCCACAUGUAUUUGGAUCCGAUUACAUUGCCUAUAAAUAGAGGAAGUUGUUACCUUCAUUUGCAAGCUUUUGAGAGCCAAGAAACCUCAGCUGCAACUUGAAGUUUUUCCAGAAAAAUUCAACUAUCGUGUUUUGAGUUUCAGUCUGUUUCUAUCCAUUUUCUUGAUUCUAUUAUCUCCAUAGGAAUUCUCUGAAGCUUUUGUAACAACUCACAAGCUCUGAGACCUUCUGAAUUUCUCCAACCAGGUCGAGCUUCAUCAACUUCUGAUCACCAUUUGGAGAAGGUAGUUCUGAGCAUCAUUUGAACUCAAACAAGUUACCACAAUGUAGUUUUUCAUUCUCUGAUGCUUUCCCCUAACUUAUCUGGUUUUGAUUGAUCAUGUUCAUCAUUUAAUUUUACUUUUCGUGUUUUGCUUAUUUAUGAAACUUCUCUGAAAUUCCCUUUUCUCAAUUCACAUAAAUGAAUUUGAAGCAUAAGGUUGAAUUCGGGAUUAGAAGAGCAUCACAAUGGAGGUGGUCUCGUGUCUUGAAGUUACCAAAUGAUGAAACUCCUGUAAGAGCUCAUCGGAGAAGAUGACUGGAGUAUUUCUCAGGUGGUCUGAGUUUUGACCAUACACGUUGGCAUUUUGAAAUGUUUUGAUUGGUCAAAUUCAAAUUUGAUCCUGUGUUUGGCUUGCAGCGUGUUCCAUCGUGUUUCUCAUCAUUUGGAGUGUUGGAUCAAUCACGUCAAUUAAUGAGGCGUGAUCCAACGCUCCUAGUUUUUUUUCUUUUGAUUUUAAUUCUUUUAUUAUUUUAAAUUUCUUUUUCUUUAAAAAUUCGUAGUAAUUUGAUUUUUUAUCCAAAAAAAUCCAAAAAUAAUUUCUAAAAUUCUCUUUUAUUUUUCUUCAUCUGAUUUUUAUUUUAACACAUUUUAUUUCAUUGAUUUUCUAUUUUUCAUGAAUUUUCUCUUUUAUACUUUGGUUUAAUUGGUUUAAAAAUACUUUUCUGCAUUUUAAAAUUCUGAAAAUUUUAUUAUAUGUUUCUCAUUUUAUUUCCAACCUUCCAUAAUUUUCUUGGCCAUUUAUUUGGUGUUUUGAAGAACUUUGUGGAUUUUCCAUUUUAUUUCCAUUUUAAAAAUCAUUUAAAAAUACCUUCAAUGCACUUUUAUUUCAUUUAAUUUCAUUUUGAAUUUGUUCGACCUUGUGAACUUCUGUUGGCGUUGGAUCAUGAUGAUUUUGACUUCAAGUCUCAUCAAACUCAAUGGAUCUUGGGUGUUGGUGGGGUGAAAACCCUAAUCCACCAAAAUGGAUGAUUGAUUUUGAUGAUGGCUUGAUCAAAUUUGUGAUUCAAUUUGGGUGUAACCUAUUUUGUCCCCUCUUAUCUUCAUCCCUUUCUUUUCUUUUGAUCAAUUGGAUGAAUUUGUGUCCAUCUUGUUCAUGAUGUGUGGAUUGGUGCUUGAUGAACUUUCAUCAUUUAAAAUGCACCUUCUAAGUGAUCAUGAAUCAUUUAAGGUACUUUUGAUUGAUGCAUAAGUUUGUCCUAAGUAACAUGAAAUAUGGAUUGAAGUAAUGGACCAUCCUCCUAGCCUUUGUGCUUGAUCAUAUCCCCUUUCAUUUUCUUUUCUUGUGUGGAAUAGCUUUAGGAGGAGGAUUUACAUAUUAUUUCUCUAGCAUGUAUUCACACAAACAUUAUUAUUGACCGACCUCAGAUAGUUGUAACUUCUACAUAAGUCCAUUUUUAUAAGUGAGAUUGUAAGUCUUCCAUUCAUCAUGGUAUUGUCUGAAAAUUUUGCUUCUUUUCCUUUUAUGAGAGCUAGUGGCAUACUUGUUGAUUUUAUCCAAGUUGGAGCCCUUCUAGUAAAUGAUGUAUAAGGUCCAUAUUUCCAUGCUUGUGAGUGGAUAGUUGAGUAUUCUCUAAAAAGUGACCAAAAUAUCUUUUAUCUUUAAUUACUAACAUCAUUUACUAACACUUUACUUGUAUUAACUUUUAUUUCCAAGUCAUUUACUUUAUGUUCCUUUAUUUUUUAUGUCAUUUACUUUAUGCUUUAUGUUUAACAUUUCAUAUUACAUUGUGAUUAUGUCAUUUUGUUCUUGGUACAUUUCGACCAUUCUUUAUGUCAUUACUAAAACCUAAAAAAGUAACUUCUCUCUCUUAAUUCAUGGACUUGUGGUUCCCAUCCUGGGCAUCUUUGUGGAGUUAUGGACUUAGAAUUAGGAUCUUAACCUUUGCUUUGGAACUUGUAGCCUUAUACCUUAAAAUUCGUAUGAUACCUUUGACUUUGGACUUCUUUGGGAAGACUCGGCUUAGUUACUUUGAGUUUAUCUGAUACAUGGAUUACUAUUUGCUUGUUUUGCUUGCUUGAGGCUUAAUCCAAACGAGGGAAUUCUUACUUAACUUAUGUCACAAAGCUUUCUAUCUCUUGAUUAGAUCUUUCUUCUUUAUCUUUUACUUUACUGCUUUAGGAUAGUCUCUUCUUCUCCUUCCCCUUCUUUAAUUUUCAAAAUCUUCUCUCUUUUUCAAAACCUUCUUGUUUUAACUUGAACCACUUUCUCAAUAAACCUUGACUUUUUUUUCAAGUGAUUUUCAAAACUUCUUUUUAAUAAAUUUCAAUCUAUCUUAAGCAUGUUUAGACUAAUUUCAAAAUACUUAAAAAAUGCCCAACUCAUUCAAACCAUUUUGUGUCCUUUGUGCACUUUUUACUUUUAAACUCUUUCUCAAAGCAUUAGACAUGAGUCAUUUCCAUAUUUGAGUUGUAAUCCUCCUAUCUCCAUAGUAUUGAUGAUAAUUCUUUUCCAUCUGUGAGAGCUAGUGGCAUACUUGUUAAUCCUUAUCCAAGUUGGAGCCCUUCUCAUGAUGAUAAAAAGUUCUCAUACUUGUGGGUGACUAGUUGAAUAUUCUCCUAAAAAUGAUAAAAUGUCUUUUCCAAAAAAAAAGAAUAAAAAACACCUUUGUUAUUUUUACCACGAACUAAGAGGUUUUGAUUCUCCAUUGCACUUUGUUGGUACGUAGGCAUGAGACUUUACAAGUCUUGACAAACACCUAAUCAUAAUGAAAAUGCUUCUUUUCUCAUCUCUCCAAUCUUUUAACAAACAACACCUUUUUCAAGCUAAAAUAUAUAUAUUUUCAAUGAGGUUCCCAUGGAGUACCAUGGAUGUUUAGGAUGCUAAUACCUUCCUUUUACAUAACUAACCCCCGGACCCUUGUUCUUUUUUUAUUAGUUUUUUUUAAACUUCUUUAGAUUUUGUUCGUACUUUUUUCCUUUUCCUUUGGAAACAACAAAAGCACGGUGGCAACUCUUACCGUAUGAGUUAAGUUAAUCAAUAACUUAAUCUAAAGAUUUUUACCGCUACAAUUGUACUUUGCCCUAAUUGUAUCGUGUAAUGCAUUUGUGAAUUAAAUUUGGAAAUAUUUGAUGGCAUUUCCAAUUUGAGGUUGUGGUUCUUUCCGCUUUCAAUUUGCACACGGCUUAGGGUUUAUGGAUUGAAAAAUUGGGAAUUGGGGAUUGGAUCGGGUCAUGGGUGUGACCCGAUAGAAUGGUGGAUUUGGGUAUGCCUAACCCAAUUGGUUUGGACCUAGGUCGCGUGUUGACCCAAUUGGACUUGGGCUCUGGUCAUCCCUUUGACAAGCCCAUUUAAGAUAAAAAAAUGGAUUAAAAAGAUAAUAAGAAUAAACUAAUUACCUUAUUAAGACUAAUUAACCUUGUAAGAACAAAAAUUGUUCUACAACAGAUUCCAUGAUUUUGAUGAUAACAAAGGAUGAAACCAAAAAUGGCACCCUAACAAAAAGUUUCUAAGUGUGCAGGGUUCUAAGGAAAGAAGGAAGAAAUCAUCAGAUACAGAAUCAUAUCAGAUACAAAUUAUCAGAAGACCAGAAGCAUCUGAAGUAGAAACACGAUUCAAGAAAGUCUAACUCUGAGCAAAACAGCAAAAUAUCAGAAGCAUCUGAACAAGAAGUACGCUCUAGAAGUUCUGACUCUGAACAACGGUAUGUCAAACUCCAGAAGUUCUCAGCGCUAUCUGAAGAAACCAUCAGAACUCAAAAGAGAUCAACAUCAGAAGUUAGAUAGCAAGAUUCCAAGAUCUCCAGAAACACGAAGACUCUGAUUAUGGAAUUGCUAAAUAAGGAAGAGUAACGUUAACUUCAAAUAAAGUUAUGGAAAUGGACUUCCUAAUACAGAAAGAGACGUUAACUCCAAAUUCAAAUGAAUAGGAACUAUAUUUGGAAAGUAGUCAUUCAAGGAGAAAAAGUUGUUUUGGCAACAAACAACAUAAGUUAUGGCACUAAUUAUUAUUCAAGAGUUAUUAUCUGCUAUGAUUUUUCAACGGCUCUUUCUCUCCUAUAUAAAGGACAGCAAUCAACUUUGAGAGGUUAGAGAAAGCAAGCAUACACAAAAACAUUCUUCAUCUCUCUCAAUAUUUCACAAAGCUUUUGCUUGAAACGUAAAACACUUUGUUCUUACUGUUGUAAUAUUUGCUUAUCUUAGAAGCACUCUAGAUUACAUAAGUUUUUAUCUUUGUUGUAUUUCCUCAAGUGACUCUGUGCAGUCUGUAUACUUGAGAGGACUAAGAGAUCUUUCUCUUAGACGUUGUUUGUAAUCAAUCUUUCAAGAUUAGUGGAUUAAGUCCUUGUUGAAGGCGAAAUCACCUUGGCCGGGUGGACUGGAGUAGCUUUGUGUUAUAAGCGAACCAGUAUAAAAUCCUUGUGUGAUUUUCAUUUUGAAAAAGCGCUUAUUUUCAAAACAAUUCAACCCCCCCCUUUCUUGUUUUUCUCACCUUCAAACCUAACCAUCAUCUAAUAAUAAUAUAAAUUGAUAUUUUGAUAAAAGUUGAUUAAUGAUGUAAUUAACCUAAUUAAUCUUAAUCAAACUUAAACUAAACUCGAGUUAAUCAUAAGUUAAUCAUAUAUUAAAAGCUCUUUGAUGAAUUUAACUGUAAAUUAGCAAAAAAAUCUAAUAAUCGCAUAAACCCUAUUCAACUCUAAAAACCACAAGAUUAUCAAUUAAUCAGGAUGGAUCAGGAAAAAAUCUAAAUGGUCCUCUUGUGACUUUUUAUGUCAUUGGGGAGGACCAGAUAACUUAUACCGGCUCCGGACAUGUUAGUGAUCUAGGUUAGGGGAUAAAGGGUCAAAAUUUGGGGUACGACAGUUGCCCCUAUAUAAUCAGCUUAAACUGGAAGGACGAUGGCAGUGAGUCUUUGUCCACCCUGGAUAAGGUGAUUAAAUAUAGAGAGGGUCCCUAAUUUUUACCAUGUAGUUUGUAGAUCCUGGGAAUGAGCACAAAUUGAACAAUCCUUGAUGCUUUGCUGGUAUACGAGCCAACUUAUGAUGGAACCCUGGUGAGACUUUAUUGAUUAGUUUCAGCCCAUCUGGGUGAAACUAGCAUACCAAUUCUAUGAUCAUCCGAUCAUUUUAUCGAAAUUAGACAGGACUAUAACGAUCCUUUGAUCAUUCCUUGAUAGAACCAUGGUAGAACCCAUUUGAUUAGUUCCAACCCCUUCGGGUGAAACUUGCAUACGAUUCCUAUGGUCAUCCGAUCAUGUUAUGGAAAUCGGGCAGGACUCUGACGAUCCUCCAGUCACAAUUUGAUGAAACCCUGGUAGAACCCCUUUGAUUAGUUUUUGCUUAUCCGGGUGAAACUUGCGUAUAAUUCCUAUGAUCCUCCGAUUGUCUUAUGGGAAUCGGGUAGGACUGUAAUGAUCCUCCAGCCGUUAUAAUUCCUAUGAUCAACCAAUUAUUUAGAAUCUUUGUAGGACUCUGUCAAUCCUCUAGUCGUUGUUUGAUAAAACCAUAUGCAUUUGAUGGAGCUUGUGCCAUGUGCCAGAUAGGUUGUUAAGUUGGGGAUAUGAGAGAUGAACACCUACUCAUUGGUCGAUAGCUAUUAUUUGAGAUGACCGAGUUACUGGACAUGUUAAACUUGCAGGGGAGAUCCUUUGCUUAAAAAGGCUCCUUAGAGGCUCUCUUACUGGGUAAGGCCAAUAACUAUUCUUGAAUUGAGGAUUUGUAUUAAUAUUGCUGGUUAUUGAACUUCUAAGAGUGGUCAAACUCAUAUGUUAUGUUAUACGUGUUCAUGCAGAUGCAUAUUUUGAAUUGAUGUAUGUGCUUAUGCGUGAUGCUUUAUUUGGGCUAUCGCCUCUUUUAUGAUGUGUAUGAUGAAUAUGUGAAAUUGUGAGAAUUGUGAGAACCUAGGUUUCUGUAACAUUUCAACUCUCCAACCCCUUGAGACUUUGAUAUGUUCAUGGACUAUGCCAUGAUGCUCUUGAUGUUUGAGAAUAAUUAAAAGGAAGAAACUUUUAUGCUAAUUAGAUCAUGACUGUUGAUUCAGAGACCCUGCGUUUUGUAAUGUUAGAAAGCUUAUGAUACUUUUGUCAUUUCAAAAUCGAAGUAAAAGAUGUUUUUAAUUUUUUUAAUUAUGCCCGAUCUUUUAAUGUAUUAUUCACAAAUAAUUGAUAUUUUAUAAUCAAGUAGAAAAUUGAAAAUAAGGCUCAAAACAAUUUUAUUUAUUGAGAUUUUUGACCCGUAAAUGGGUGAUAGUACAUGAAAAAGAAAAUCCCAUAAAGGGGAGAUUACUGAAAAGAUGGAAUAUGUAAAUUGACAAUGAAAAUAGAUUAAUUUAGGUUCCUAGUGAAUUCAACAUUUGAUAUUAUCCAUAUGUCUUCAAAGUCACAAUACUUUGCUUCUGAAGAUGAUGAUUGCGUUGACUGUUUUCAUCUGAAUUCCUAUUGUAGUAUGGCUUAAAUACUGUAGUCAUAUGCCUUUUGGAUAUCUCUAACUUUUGUCUAGACUGCGCUUUUGAGUCUUAGUCCACCAGGAUGAUAUACCAUUUUUUCCCUAAGACCCCCUUUUGGGGUUUUCGGCUUAGUGGGUUUUAUUUUAUACAAGUAUCUAAUUUUUCCUGGAUCGCUCUUUCGAGUUCUCAAUCCACCGAGACACACUAAUUUUUGCCUAAGUCGCCCUCUCGGGUUUUAAAAUUAGAGGAAUUUUAUCCUCUUUUGCUAGGCAUAGUAUUUCUUUACUGCUUCAGAGUUCACAUGUCGUGGUAACUCUGCUCCAUUCAUAAUUGUGAGUAUUAAGGCCCCUCCAGAGAAGGCUUUUUUCACGAGGUAUGACCCUUGGUAGUUUUGGUUCCAUUUUUCUGCGGGGAUCUUUGUGGAUGGUUCAGAUUUUCCUGAGUACUAGGUCGACUACUAAGAAUAGACGAGGAUAAACUUUCUUGUCGAAUGCUUUCUUCAGCCUCCGCUGAUAUAACUGUCAGUGACAUAUCGCAACCAUGUGUUUCUCUUCUAUGAGGUUUAAUUGAUUGAAUCUUGUUUGUGCCCAUUCUUCCUCUUCCAAUUUAGUCUCCAUAUGGACUCUCAGAGAGGGGAUCUCGACUUCAAUAGGAAGUAUCAGUGCCAUAUACCAGAGAGAAAGGAGUUACUCUUGUUGACGUGCGAAUUCACAUUCUAUAGCCGUGUAGUGCAAAACGUAGCAUUUCGUUCCAAUCUUUGUAAGUUUUUACCAUCUUCUAGAUAAUCUUUUUGAUGUUCUUGUUAGUUGUUUCUACUGCACCGUUCAUCUUAGGCAUGUACAGUGAUGAGUUUUGGUGUUCGAUUUUGAAACUGUCGCAUAACUCGUCCAUUACCUUGUUAUUUAGAUUCAACCCAUAAUCAAUGAUGAUCUUGUUAUGAACACCAUAUCGACAAACGAUUUACAUUUUGAUGAAUCAUGCAAUCACUUAUCUCGUCACAUUAGUGUAAGAAGUAGCCUGUACCCAUUUGGUGAAGUUAUCGAUAGCAACCAGGGUGAACCGAUGUCCGCUCGCAUCUUUUGGAUAGAUCAUCCUGAUUAUGUGAAUACCCCGCAUGGAGAAAGGCCGUGGAGCGGUCAGGGAAUUCAAGGGAGUAGGUGGCACAAGUACUUUGUCUGUAUAGGUGUGGCACUUAUGACAUUUCUUGACGCAUUUGAAGCAAUCAGACUCCAUAGUUAACCAAUAGUACCCUGCUCUGAGAAUUUUCUUAGCCAUGGUGUUCCCAUUGGCAUGUGUGUAAAAGGAUCCCUCGUGAAUAUCUUUGAUAAGCAUGAUUGCUUCGUAUCCAUCUAGGCAUAUGAGUAAGACCAUGUCGUGGUUCUGUUUGUAUAGCACAUCACCAAUGAGGAAGAAUAAAGAUUCCAAUCUUCUAAGCGUUUUCUUAUCUUGGCUUGAAGCGUUUGCAGGAUACUCAUGUUUCUGAUACUUUGAAUCAACUUUUAUAUGCAACUCUAAUUCAAAAUUGAUUAAUGCAUAUUCUUAUAUUAAAAUUAUGCUCUUUAUGUUCUUGUAUAUUUUCAAUUAAUAUUUGUAAAUAUGAUCAAAUAAGGUAUAUCUUAUAACAAAGUGUGAAAUUUUAAGUUGAAAUUAGUAAUGUUGGAUAGAGGAUUGAUGAAUCUAUCAAAAUCUCUUUUUUUUUAAUGGAAAAACUGUAGACAAUGGAAAGGGGUUAUACAAGUUUGAAUCUUAUAAAUUUUUUAUAAGCAAGCAAUUGAUUAAAUAAAGAGAGUGCAAGGGAUACUCUAACCCUUACAAAGAUGACAAACGCCACUUACAAACAGAGAGAAGGAAUUGAAAAUACAAUCGUACAACCAACAUAUUUGAGAAGAAAUACUACCAACAACUAACCAAUUCCAAUAUAAGAACUUAAUGGAUAUGACAACUUCAUCUACACAUAAAAUUGUCUCAUUAAACAAAGAAUUAUUUCUCCCUAAUCAGAUGAUCCAACAAGCUUCUAUCUAAAACAUCUCAUCCUUCUUCUUGCCAAAAUCAUGGCACGGCUUCCCCCACGAUGACAUAAACGAUACUCGCUGAUAAAAAUGUCCAAAAAAAUCACAACCGAACCAGUCACCCUAUUUCCUCCACACAUAGCAAACAACCGGGAAAGAUAUGAAAAGAUGGAGAAAAUUCUCCUAUUUAGCAAAACAAAAGACACACAGAGUAUCACUAACAUCAUUAAUGAUACCUCUAUACAACAAGUUAACCUUAGUUGACACCUAUCAAUCAACAAUCUCCAAGCAAAAAUAAUAAAUUUGGAAGGAAUUUAGGAAUUCCAAAGGAUGUUUAGGGCUGCAGACAUAUCAUAAUGACCCACUACCAAAUGAGAUUCAUGCAAAACAUAAUAAUAAAAAGAAACCAAAAACAGGAGAGACGCAUUCGGGAUCCACUCGGACCUAUCUUGCACAGAAAAAAUAGGUUGAAUCAACUCCAACUUGUCCAACAACUCCUCCUUCAAAUCGGUUGAACCUCUAUCAAGAUUUCACUCAUUCAAAUGUAGAUUCCAUACUCGAUGUCCUUCAACCCAAUAUCUCAUCCCUCCAACACUAAUAUUAUUCAAAACGGAACAUGUAUGUAACUCGGGAAAUGCCUCCUUAAUGCUCUAUAAACACAAAUGCUGGACUAGAAAUCGACAUCAGAAUCGUUAUCCGUAAAACACCUCAAAUUACCUCUGAAACAAUCUUUGCUCAAGCCAUAAUCACACCCCAAACUAGAUAAAUCUCUCCACUAAAUUGAGUCAUGAUUCCCCCCUUUAUGAAAGCUGAUACUCAUAAUAGGAAUCCCAAAAGAACAAUAUAUAAAUUCAAUCAACUUUGACCAAAUAGCCACCAAAUCAUUUAAAAUCUUCCACUUCCACUUCAAAAGGAGGGAUAUAUUGAACAACCUAAUAUCUUUGACACCUAGACCUCCUUAUCUUUAGGUAAAUAGACAUUUUCCCAACUAACCUAGUGAAUGGAUCUUCUCGUGGAUGGAAAAAAUUUACAGAGUCACCACCAUAUUUAUUUGUUCCUAAUGAACAGGGAAAUAAUGAUAAAACCUAAGAUAAAGGGGAGAGACUAAGGUUUGGGAGUCGGUUAAGCAAUAGGAAGGUAUUAGGAACCCCUAACUCCAUUGUACUCAAUCAGAUCCUCCUCUAAAUCUAGGAUUAAUGUGUGUUUCUAAGGGAAUGUUUGGUUACGUCGUCUGUUAUUUGCUUAAUUUAUUUAUUUACAAAAAAAUGCUAUUUUUUAGAGAAAAUGAUUGAUUAAUGAAGUUAGACACAGAAAGGGUGUUUUUAGUUAUCGUAUUCGCUAGAGUGCUAUGACUCUAUGCCUAUGUACCUUCAUGUUAGAUGAAGGAUCAGGGCACCGUAGUUCUUCUAGAAAAUGUUUGUUUGUUUUGUGUUUUUUUAGAUUGUUGAAAUUUAUCAACACACCGGGGGCGGACAAACGUUUUAAAAAAUGACUCAAUGCACCAGGGCAGAUGACUUAUAGAUUGACUGUGUGGCAUUGAUUUUCAUUCAUUUGUUAAUUUAAAAAAUAUACCAUGUUUAAUUUAAUUAUAAAUUAUAUUAGAUGAUAUAAUUAUUCACAUACUUAACUUUAUUAGAGAUUUUAAACACAAUUAGAUAAUGAAAGAAAAACCAGUACGAUCUCGAUUAAACCCUGAUUAGCUUUAAUAAUGUCCCAAAAGUUAGCCCUAAAAUUUAAUCGUAAAAUUAUACUAAUAAACCUAAUCAUUAAAGCAUAUUUUUAUACUUUGUAAUUUAAAAUAUGCUAAAUCCUUGAUUAUUAAGAUUAAUUGUUUGAAUUAAAUUAAUUAUCAAUUAGAUUCUAAAAGUAAAUUAUUAAUUAUAAAGUUUUUAAUUAAGAAAAUAAGUUAAUUGAUUGAGUUUGAAUAAAUUAAGCCGAGGGUGCAUUGUUAGUUGUAUUAGUAAUUGAGUUGAUGCUGGGGGGAGUAAAUAGCAAAAAAAGAGGAGGCAUAUUAACCAUUGAAGCACAACAAUGGCCAGAGGCACCAGUGGGAGAGUCAACGGUUGAAUCUCAUCCAUGGAUGUAGGAUAAAUCCAACGUGAUUCAGGUAGAGGGUACCAGGGUCGUGUGAUAGUCAUACUAAGUCAAAGUAAUUGUAAUGGAGAGUGGGGAUUAAAAGUCAAAGCAAACACAUGGUAAGAGCAGAGGUACAUAGGCUAGUAAGAGUCAGCAUAUUAUUUGGUUGGAAAUAUGCCACCUGGGCGUGGCAUAAAUACGAGACAGAUGGAACAUAUAACCUCAAAGUCUUCAGAAUUGUUCCAUUUCUUCUUUCCCUUUCUCUCUCUUAUCUUAUCUUCUCCACUCUCUCUCGUUCUUUCUCUCUAAACCUUUUCCUCCAGCCACCCUGAAACCUAGUAGCCACCCUGCUAACCUCCCCCAAAACAGAACCCUUCAAGACCAUGAACCCUAGGAUGACCCUAACCUUAUUGAAGAACCCUAAUUAGGUUUUGUUGAACCCUAACUUAUCAACCUAGAACCCUAACCCUAAAGUGAAGAACCCUAACCCUAACUUCUAAGAACCCUAACCCUAAGACUACCCAGAAACCCUCAAUUUGAUCUAGAUCGAAUCCUAAUCAAACCUAAAACACAAAUCAACCCUUAACAAAAAUCAAACACAAAAACCCUAUAU
This 21473-nucleotide long non-coding RNA is filed under the name Lathyrus oleraceus (garden pea). Lineage: Eukaryota; Viridiplantae; Streptophyta; Magnoliopsida; Fabales; Fabaceae. The record is from RNAcentral.